CUGCCCUUAGGUUCGGAAUAACAGCUGGAAACGGCUGCUAAUACCGGAUGAUAUCGCGAGAUCAAAGAUUUAUCGCCUGAGGAUGAGCCCGCGUUGGAUUAGGUAGUUGGUGGGGUAAAGGCCUACCAAGCCGACGAUCCAUAGCUGGUCUGAGAGGAUGAUCAGCCACACUGGGACUGAGGCACGGCCCAGACUCCUACGGGAGGCAGCAGUGGGGAAUAUUGGACAAUGGGCGAAAGCCUGAUCCAGCAAUGCCGCGUGAGUGAUGAAGGCCCUAGGGUUGUAAAGCUCUUUUACCCGGGAAGAUAAUGACUGUACCGGGAGAAUAAGCCCCGGCUAACUCCGUGCCAGCAGCCGCGG
This 360-nucleotide ribosomal RNA is filed under the name uncultured bacterium. RNAcentral's name for it is "bacterial SSU rRNA". It matches the Rfam family "Bacterial small subunit ribosomal RNA", at positions 126 to 520 of the family's 1533-position model. The record is from RNAcentral.